GCGCUGGUUUGGCCCAGGGGAUACUUCGCAAUUCAAUACUCUUUGAAAGCCUCACCUCUCCUGCAGAGGUUCGAACCCCGGGCGCUGUCCAGCGUUUUG
The sequence is a vault RNA, 99 nucleotides long. Its record names the gene Vault. It matches the Rfam family "Vault RNA". From Rfam's summary of the family: This family of RNAs are found as part of the enigmatic vault ribonucleoprotein complex. The complex consists of a major vault protein (MVP), two minor vault proteins (VPARP and TEP1), and several small untranslated RNA molecules. It has been suggested that the vault complex is involved in drug resistance. The record is from Ensembl.